CUCGAGCAAGGGACUGUGCCUUCGUGUGCCUUGGUUUCCCCAUGCAAUGGUACUUGGUUGUCUUUCCUCCAUAAAGCAAGGAAGAGGAUGGAGGAGCGUGGUGGCACGGUUCGUGAAGGCGGACAGCCGGGCAGAAUGGGAAUGCUAAUUAAUUAGCCAUCACGUUCGGGCCACGGCGCACAAGGAAGUGAAACUAGAGCGUGGUUUGGAGGAACAGCCCCGAACAGAAAAGGGAUGUGCCGUGUGUCCAGUGAAAGAUUUACGAGAGUCCUGACUCGGAGCUUGUAGUAAUGCAACAGGACUUUUGUCCCUCCGCAGUCCCCACCCAUGGCCCUUUGAGCUCUGAAAAGCACACGUUUGGAAACCAGCCUCUGUCACAAAAUCACCCACGUUCUUCCGGCCACAAACCUUCGCCUCAUGCGUCCUGCAGUCGAAGCCACCGAGAGGAGCCCUGAGGAUGGGAUGCCACAUGCUGAGCCGGCGACAGGAGAGGAGCCACCACCGCACCGCGGGAAAGCUGGAGCUGAGCUCAGCCAGACGGCCCCGGCCUCCUACGGGUGCGAGGCCCGCAAGCGCCAGGCGGUUGGCAAGGGGACCCGGCUUUUGGCGGCAAACUUGGACGUGCCUCUCCGUCCUCAGCCAGGCAGCCGGGACAGACUGCUGGGAAACAUCGAGGGGCUUGCCAGCACCAUCUGCAAGGCCGGUUCUUCAUUUCUGUGCUGCACGGCCAGCGCCCCAGGUCCCCACAUCUCCAUGUCUUCCUCUCUGAUGGCCCCUGAAUUCAUGGAAAGUACUCGGCAGUGGCGUGGGCGAGUGACGGGGAGCUCUAGCGCUGGCCGAGCUGCCGGAGGAGCUGGUGGCGUGGCAUUUUCCAGGCCGACACGGAUAUGA
RNAcentral lists this long non-coding RNA (891 nucleotides) under Apteryx owenii (little spotted kiwi). Its description in RNAcentral is "lncRNA (ENSAOWG00000000353.1)". Lineage: Eukaryota; Metazoa; Chordata; Aves; Apterygiformes; Apterygidae. The record is from RNAcentral.